AUGGCUGGGACAAGUCAUAAGUCUAAACAGGAUGGACCUGCUAGAUCAAGUCAUGACAACCUUGCAUCUCAUGGGAAUGAAGAGCAUCAAGCACAGCCACGGAGUAGUGCACCAAUAACUGGGUACAAGCGUAUGAGAACUAAGGCAGUUGUUUCACGGGGGAAGCGCCCUGAUGAUAUCAUUAGUAAUGAGAAUAGUAAUGAGAGCCAAGCUGCAGAUGCUGGGAAUAAAAAUGUUGAAGGUGCAGACGUCGAGCAGCCUCCAAAAGCAAAACGCCAAAAGACGGGAGGAACUGAGGGUCGUAGGAACAGGCAUCCCCUGCAAGGCUCUUCAAGUUGA
RNAcentral lists this ribosomal RNA (339 nucleotides) under Triticum aestivum (bread wheat). RNAcentral's name for it is "partial small subunit ribosomal RNA". The record is from RNAcentral. Lineage: Eukaryota; Viridiplantae; Streptophyta; Magnoliopsida; Poales; Poaceae.